AGAGUUUGAUCCUGGCUCAGGACGAACGCUGGCGGCGUGCUUAACACAUGCAAGUCGAGCGGAAAGGCCCCUUCGGGGGUACUCGAGCGGCGAACGGGUGAGUAACACGUGAGCAACCUGCCCCUGACUCUGGGAUAAGCCUGGGAAACCGGGUCUAAUACCGGAUACGACCAUUGCGGGCAUCCGUUGGUGGUGGAAAGUUUUUUCGGUCGGGGAUGGGCUCGCGGCCUAUCAGCUUGUCGGUGGGGUGACGGCCUACCAAGGCGACGACGGGUAACCGGCCUGAGAGGGCGACCGGUCACACUGGGACUGAGACACGGCCCAGACUCCUACGGGAGGCAGCAGUGGGGAAUAUUGCGCAAUGGGCGGAAGCCUGACGCAGCGACGCCGCGUGGGGGAUGACGGCCUUCGGGUUGUAAACCUCUUUCAGCGGGGACGAAGCCCUUUGGGGUGACGGUACCUGCAGAAGAAGCGCCGGCUAACUACGUGCCAGCAGCCGCGGUAAUACGUAGGGCGCGAGCGUUGUCCGGAAUUAUUGGGCGUAAAGAGCUCGUAGGCGGUUUGUCGCGUCGGAUGUGAAAGCCCAUGGCUUAACUGUGGGUCUGCAUUCGAUACGGGCAGACUAGAGGUAGGUAGGGGAGCAUGGAAUUCCCGGUGUAGCGGUGAAAUGCGCAGAUAUCGGGAGGAACACCGGUGGCGAAGGCGGUGCUCUGGGCCUUACCUGACGCUGAGGAGCGAAAGCGUGGGGAGCGAACAGGAUUAGAUACCCUGGUAGUCCACGCCGUAAACGUUGGGCGCUAGGUGUGGGGUUCUUCCACGGAUUCCGCGCCGUAGCUAACGCAUUAAGCGCCCCGCCUGGGGAGUACGGCCGCAAGGCUAAAACUCAAAUGAAUUGACGG
RNAcentral lists this ribosomal RNA (899 nucleotides) under uncultured bacterium. RNAcentral describes it as "bacterial SSU rRNA". It matches the Rfam family "Bacterial small subunit ribosomal RNA", at positions 8 to 916 of the family's 1533-position model. The record is from RNAcentral.